UUAGGAAUUUUGCGCAAUGGGGGAAACCCUGACGCAGCCACGCCGCGUGCGGGAUGAAGGCCCUCGGGUCGUAAACCGCUUUUCUCAGGGAAGAUCCAAGACGGUACCUGAGGAAUAAGCAACGGCUAACUACGUGCCAGCAGCCGCGGUAAUACGUAGGUUGCGAGCGUUGUCCGGAUUUACUGGGUGUAAAGCGCGCGCAGGCGGUCCCGAAAGUCCACCGUGAAAGCUCCCGGCUCAACUGGGAGAGGCCGAUGGAAACUUCGGGACUUGAAGGCGGGAGAGGCAGAUGGAAUUCCCGGUGUAGCGGUAAAAUGCGUAGAUACCGGGAGGAACACCAGUGGCGAAAGCGAUCUGCUGGCCCACCCUUGACGCUCAGGCGCGAAAGCUAGGGGAGCGACCGGG
This 405-nucleotide ribosomal RNA is filed under the name uncultured bacterium. RNAcentral describes it as "bacterial SSU rRNA". It matches the Rfam family "Bacterial small subunit ribosomal RNA", at positions 355 to 776 of the family's 1533-position model. The record is from RNAcentral.